CCUACGGGAGGCAGCAGUGGGGAAUAUUGGACAAUGGGCGAAAGCCUGAUCCAGCCAUGCCGCGUGUGUGAAGAAGGUCUUCGGAUUGUAAAGCACUUUAAGUUGGGAGGAAGGGCAGUAAGUUAAUACCUUGCUGUUUUGACGUUACCGACAGAAUAAGCACCGGCUAACUCUGUGCCAGCAGCCGCGGUAAUACAGAGGGUGCAAGCGUUAAUCGGAAUUACUGGGCGUAAAGCGCGCGUAGGUGGUUCGUUAAGUUGGAUGUGAAAGCCCCGGGCUCAACCUGGGAACUGCAUCCAAAACUGGCGAGCUAGAGUACGGUAGAGGGUGGUGGAAUUUCCUGUGUAGCGGUGAAAUGCGUAGAUAUAGGAAGGAACACCAGUGGCGAAGGCGACCACCUGGACUGAUACUGACACUGAGGUGCGAAAGCGUGGGGAGCAAACAGGAUUAGAUACCCUUGUAGUC
RNAcentral lists this ribosomal RNA (465 nucleotides) under uncultured bacterium. RNAcentral describes it as "bacterial SSU rRNA". It matches the Rfam family "Bacterial small subunit ribosomal RNA", at positions 338 to 795 of the family's 1533-position model. The record is from RNAcentral.